This 539-nucleotide ribosomal RNA is filed under the name uncultured Planctomycetota bacterium. Its description in RNAcentral is "bacterial SSU rRNA". It matches the Rfam family "Bacterial small subunit ribosomal RNA", at positions 371 to 922 of the family's 1533-position model. The record is from RNAcentral. Lineage: Bacteria; Pseudomonadati; Planctomycetota.
AUGGGCGCAGCCUGAUCGAGCGACGCCGCGUGUGCGAUGAAGGCCCUCGGGUUGUAAAGCACUGUCGAGGGGGAGAAAGCCGCAAGGUUGAUCGACUCCUGGAGGAAGCACGGGCUAAGUUCGUGCCAGCAGCCGCGGUAAGACGAACCGUGCGAACGUUAUUCGGAAUCACUGGGCUUAAAGGGCGCGUAGGCGGGUUGCCAAGUCGGAGGUGAAAUCCUGCAGCUCAACUGCAGAAGUGCCCCCGAUACUGGCGACCUCGAGUGAGGUAGGGGCAUGUGGAACUUCCGGUGGAGCGGUGAAAUGCGUAGAUAUCGGAAGGAACGCCGGUGGCGAAAGCGACGUACUGGACCUCAACUGACGCUGAGGCGCGAAAGCCAGGGGAGCGAACGGGAUUAGAUACCCCGGUAGUCCUGGCCCUAAACGAUGGGUACUAGGUAGUGGACUUACAUGGGUUCACUGCCGAAGCAAAAGUGUUAAGUACCCCGCCUGGGGAGUAUGGUCGCAAGGCUGAAACUCAAAGGAAUUGACGGGGGCUC